AAUCAACGCUGGCGGCGUGCCUCAGACAUGCAAGUCGAACGCGAAAUUUCCCUUCGGGGAGAAAGUAGAGUGGCGCACGGGUGAGUAACACGUAGGUAAUUUGCCUUUGGGUGGGGAAUAACUCAGGGAAACUUGAGCUAAUACCGCAUAAUGCAGCGGCUCGACAUCGAGACAGUUGUUAAAGCGGGGGAUUGGAGCAAUCCGACCUCGCGCCUAAAGAGAAGCCUGCGGCAGAUUAGCUGGUUGGUAAGGUAAUGGCUUACCAAGGCGACGAUCUGUAACCGGCCUGAGAGGGCGGUCGGUCACACUGACACUGACAUACGGGUCAGACUCCUACGGGAGGCAGCAGUCGGGAAUUUUGGGCAAUGGGCGCAAGCCUGACCCAGCAACGCCGCGUGAAGGAUGAAAUUUUUCGGAAUGUAAACUUCGCAAGAACAGGAAGAAUAAGUGUGGGACAAUACCCACAUGAUGACGGUACUGUUUGUAAGCUCCGGCUAACUCCGUGCC
This 507-nucleotide ribosomal RNA is filed under the name uncultured bacterium. RNAcentral describes it as "bacterial SSU rRNA". It matches the Rfam family "Bacterial small subunit ribosomal RNA", at positions 32 to 509 of the family's 1533-position model. The record is from RNAcentral.